This 387-nucleotide ribosomal RNA is filed under the name uncultured bacterium. RNAcentral describes it as "bacterial SSU rRNA". It matches the Rfam family "Bacterial small subunit ribosomal RNA", at positions 30 to 417 of the family's 1533-position model. The record is from RNAcentral.
AUUGAACGCUGGCGGCAUGCCUUACACAUGCAAGUCGAACGGCAGCACGGGGGCAACCCUGGUGGCGAGUGGCGAACGGGUGAGUAAUACAUCGGAAUGUACCCAGUAGUGGGGGAUAACUAGUCGAAAGAUUAGCUAAUACCGCAUACGCACUAUGGUGGAAAGCGGGGGAUCGCAAGACCUCGCGCUAUUGGAGCAGCCGAUGUCCGAUUAGGUAGUUGGUGGGGUAAAGGCCUACCAAGCCUGCGAUCGGUAACUGGUCUGAGAGGACGACCAGUCACACUGGGACUGAGACACGGCCCAGACUCCUACGGGAGGCAGCAGUGGGGAAUUUUGGACAAUGGGGGAAACCCUGAUCCAGCAAUGCCGCGUGUGUGACGAAGGCCU